RNAcentral lists this ribosomal RNA (513 nucleotides) under uncultured Actinomycetes bacterium. Its description in RNAcentral is "bacterial SSU rRNA". It matches the Rfam family "Bacterial small subunit ribosomal RNA", at positions 370 to 896 of the family's 1533-position model. The record is from RNAcentral. Lineage: Bacteria; Bacillati; Actinomycetota; Actinomycetes.
AAUGGGCGAAAGCCUCACGUAGCCGCGCCGCGUGAGUGAUGAAGGCUCUCGGGUUGUAAACCUCUUUCAGCAGGGACGAAAAUGACGGUACCUGCAGAAGAAGCUCCGGCCAACUACGUGCCAGCAGCCGCGGUAACACGUAGGGAGCAAGCGUUGUCCGGAAUUAUUGGGCGUAAAGAGCUCGUAGGCGGUUCAGUAAGUCAGGUGUGAAAACUCGAGGCUCAACCUCGAGAGGCCACCUGAUACUGCUGUGACUGGAGUCCGGUAGAGGAGUGUGGAAUUCCUGGUGUAGCGGUGAAAUGCGCAGAUAUCAGGAGGAACACCAACAGCGAAGGCAGCACUCUGGGCCGGUACUGACGCUGAGGAGCGAAAGCGUGGGGAGCGAACAGGAUUAGAUACCCUGGUAGUCCACGCCGUAAACGUUGGGCACUAGGUGUGGGGUCUAGCUAACAGAUUCCGCGCCGCAGCUUAACGCAUUAAGUGCCCCGCCUGGGGAGUACGGCCGCAAGGCUU